GACGAACGCUGGCGGCGUGCUUAACACAUGCAAGUCGGACGGAAAGGCCCUGCUUUUGUGGGGUGCUCGAGUGGCGAACGGGUGAGUAACACGUGAGUAACCUGCCCUUGACUUUGGGGUAAAUUCAGGAAAAUGGGGCUAAUACCGGAUAGGAGCUCCUGCUGCAUGGUGGGGGUUGGAAAGUUUCGGCGGUUGGGGCUGGAUUAGCGGCUUAUCAGCUUGUUGGUGGGGUAUGGGAUUACAACGGCUUUGACGGGUAGCCUGCCUUGGAGGGUGACCGGCCACAUUGGGACUGAGGUACGGCCCAGACUCCAACGGGAGGCAGCAGUGGGGAAUAUUGCACAAUGGGCGGAAGCCUGAUGCAGCAACGCCGCGUGCGGGAUGACGGCCUUCGGGUUGUAAACCGCUUUCGCCUGUGACGAAGCGUGAGUGACGGUAAUGGGUAAAGAAGCACCGGCUAACUACGUG
Molecule: ribosomal RNA, 468 nt
Filed under: uncultured bacterium
Lineage: Bacteria
Description: partial 16S ribosomal RNA
Rfam family: Bacterial small subunit ribosomal RNA
Source: RNAcentral